This 427-nucleotide ribosomal RNA is filed under the name uncultured beta proteobacterium. RNAcentral's name for it is "bacterial SSU rRNA". It matches the Rfam family "Bacterial small subunit ribosomal RNA", at positions 355 to 774 of the family's 1533-position model. Lineage: Bacteria; Pseudomonadati; Pseudomonadota; Betaproteobacteria. The record is from RNAcentral.
UGGGGAAUUUUGGAAAAUGGGCGAAAGCCUGAUCCAGCCAUGCCGCGUGAGUGAAGAAGGCCUUCGGGUUGUAAAGCUCUUUUAGUCGGAAAGAAAGAGUCGCAAUGAAUAAUUGUGAUUUAUGACGGUACCGACAGAAAAAGCACCGGCUAACUACGUGCCAGCAGCCGCGGUAAUACGUAGGGUGCGAGCGUUAAUCGGAAUUACUGGGCGUAAAGGGUGCGCAGGCGGUUUUGCAAGUCAGAUGUGAAAGCCCCGGGCUUAACCUGGGAAUUGCGUUUGAAACUACAAGGCUAGAGUGCAGCAGAGGGGAGUGGAAUUCCAUGUGUAGCAGUGAAAUGCGUAGAGAUGUGGAAGAACACCGAUGGCGAAGGCAGCUCCCUGGGUUGACACUGACGCUCAUGCACGAAAGCGUGGGGAGCAAACA